RNAcentral lists this ribosomal RNA (253 nucleotides) under uncultured bacterium. RNAcentral's name for it is "partial 16S ribosomal RNA". It matches the Rfam family "Bacterial small subunit ribosomal RNA", at positions 524 to 776 of the family's 1533-position model. The record is from RNAcentral.
UACGUAGGGUGCGAGCGUUGUCCGGAAUUAUUGGGCGUAAAGGGCUCGUAGGCGGUUUGUCGCGUCGGGAGUGAAAACCUUGGGCUUAACUCAGGGCUUGCUUUCGAUACGGGCAGACUAGAGGUAUGCAGGGGAGAACGGAAUUCCUGGUGUAGCGGUGAAAUGCGUAGAUAUCGGAAGGAACACCAGUGGCGAAGGCGGCUUCCUGGACUAAUACUGACGCUGAGGUGCGAAAGCGUGGGGAGCAAACAGG